GAUGCCCGCCCUCGGUCCAUUCUCUCGGUGUCUUCCGCUACCCUGGUGCGAACCGGAACUUGGUGAAGGUGCAGUGGUGACUGCUGGGUUUAUGGGGAGGACUGAGCCGGCACCGUGGUGCAGCCGUGCAAGUCGUUCUGGCAGCUUGCCGAAUUUGAAUUGCCGAUCUGAAAGCAGGCUUGAGGCGAUUUUUUUUUCCUGCCGGCUGCUUCAUCUCGUUCCUUUUGCCCUCUCCGUUUUAAUGAAUCAUAUCUGCUAGACGUUACUAACUGUUUCUCCGCAGAGAACCUCAGUUGCGCUGACGAUCUCUUUUGUCGGGGGGUAACCGGCCGAUAUGAAAUGUCUAAGGGAACUACAUUUUUAGACCCAUUUACACUGGAUUUGAUCUUUUUUUUUUACAAAAUGCGCAAACUGUGCUUCCAGUGUUUCCGGCGAAGAUCAAUGUGAAAGACAGUGGCUGAAGUGCUUUAUUAAUCAAACAGAGGCUAGCUUAAGUGGGUUUUGCUUCCAAGAUGAUGAGGAAGUAGUUGGAUUUUAAAAUGAGAACGACAGUUUCACCCAUCAACCUUUCUAUUCAACGUGCUCAACAUACAGAGCAUUUGUACUUGGAGGAAAGCAAGAGGAGAAAAGGCAGUGUGAGCUCAUGUUAAACCACCGACAGCACCACCUUUACCUGAAAGAAUUGUCUUUAGUUCAACGGUUGUUGAAAUGUCUGGUGGUUCACAGCUGCACAGUACUUAGUUUCUGGGGUGAUAAGCAACUCUACGUAAUAGACAUCCUGUAACAAUCUUAAGGUUAUUGUGGCAAGGAACAGAUCAUUAUUAUUGAACCUGAUGGUGGUUAAAACAUCUGUAAAUGAAAGCUGGUUGUAUCUUCUUUAAUAAAGAAAACAGUGAUACCCAGACCAGCACUCUGCUCUGUAGAAAGACUGUUCAUUUGCUGGGGGAUUCAAUUUUUAAUUCGAAGAGGGAAGGACUGUAGCCCAUCUGAUGAUUUCUAAUAAUCAUUUAACUAAGAAAUUAACAAAAAACCACCCAGUAUUUAAUGAAAACAAGUUUCUGAAAAGUUAGUGUGUUUGAAGUUUGUCACAGAUGCUUCCGUUGGCAAUUACCUGUUUGUGUUUCCGCGCAGGCUGCAUGGUAGCUAUUAUGAGCUCGCUAUUCUGAAGUAAUUGUGGCAAUCUCAGUCCAGUUCUCAGCAGACCAAUGGAUGCAUCGUUACUAACUAGAACUGUCCCUCAAGAAGUGUCUGGAGUCCAUCGUGGGAAGAGAGGUCACCUGCUGCAGGUUACUUUCGGUUAGCUUUCCCCCAAGAAGAAAUCAAGACAGUUUACACUUGAAGGGUACUUGGACAAAUCUAGGACACCUGUUAACUUGUGUCAAGCUGGAAUUCUUGUGAAAAGCUAAGCAUUUGCUCCUGGCUGCUGGGAGAAAAUUCUGCUUUCAGGUUAUAAGAGAUGAUCAUUUGAAGAAUCAGUUUUCCAAUAUGAACAAAGUAAAAACAUCAUCUGAAAAAAGUGUUUCUACCAGUUCUCGGACUAUGUCCCUGCUCUCGCAGCUGGAGAAGAUCAAUUUGGACUCUGUAUUAGGAGAAGCAGACAAUGCCAGAUACAUUACCUCAAAGAUCCUUCAUUUGGUUCAGAGUCAAGAAAAAACCAGGAAGGAGAUGACCUCUAAGGGCUCCACUGGAAUAGAAGUUAUCCUGUCAACCCUAGAGAAUACAAAAGAUCCUCAAACUAUUCUAAAUAUAUUGAAUAUUCUCAUUGAGGUGGUCUCAGUUGGUGGUGGUCGGAGAGCAAGCGUCUUAGUCACUAAAGGAGGGACACAGAUCUUAUUGCAGCUGCUUUUGACUGCCAGCAAAGACUCUCCACCAAAUGAAGAAUUAAUGGUGCUUCUUCACACUCUUCUUGCAAAAAUUGGUCCAAAAGACAAAAAGAUUGGCAUGAAAGCAAGAAUUAAUGGUGCCCUAAACAUAUCAUUGAAUUUAGUGAAGCAGAAUUUGCAGAACCACAGGCUAAUAUUGCCAUGUCUUCAAGUAUUAAGAGUUUACUCAACCAACUCUGUAAAUGCAAUGUCAUUGGGAAAGAAUGGAGUAGUAGAACUGAUGUUUAAGAUCAUUGGCCCUUUUAGUAAAAAGAACACUAGCCUUAUGAAGGUUGCUUUAGACACACUUGCUGCAUUGCUAAAAUCAAAAACAAAUGCCAGGAGAGCAGUAGACAGAGGAUAUGUGCAGGUGCUUUUAACAAUUUAUGUUGAUUGGCACCGUCAUGACAGUCGACACAGAUACAUGCUCAUACGUAAAGGAGUUUUACAGUGCAUUAAAAGUGUUACAAACAUCAAAUUGGGAAGAAAAGCAUUCAUUGAUGCCAAUGGGAUGAAAAUUCUUUACAACACUUCACAAGAGUGCCUUGCAGUAAGAACUCUUGAUGCCCUUGUCAACACAUCCAGCCUAAUAAUGAGGAAAUGUUUUCCUAAAAAUCGUCUCCCUUUACCAACUAUUAAAAGUGCUUUCCAUUUCCAACUCCCAGUUAUUCCUGCCAGUGGUCCUGUGGCUCAGCUAUACAAUUUGCCUCCUGAUGUGGAUGAUGUAGUAGAUGAAAGUGAUGAUAAUGAUGAUGCUGAAAUAGAAUCAGAAGUUGAAACUGAAAAUGAUGAUGAUAAGGACCAACAUUUUAAGAAUGAUGAUAUUGAGACUGAUAUUAAUAAGCUGAAACCUAGACAGGAAUUGGGAAGACCCAUAGAAGAACUGAAAAUGUAUGAGCAAUUUUUCCCUGAACUUUCAGAAAACUUUCAGGAGUGUGACUUAGUUUCCAAGGAACCAAAGCCUUUUGUACCUGAUGCAAAUCUGGGUGGACCUAUUGUUGUUCCUACAGCAGGAGAGGAGCACUCUGCUGAAGCAAACCAGUCAAUGAAAGGAGUUGCUUUGAAGGAGAGCAAUCCUUUAUUGACAGAGGAAUACAAUAGAAGGCCAGCCUUUCUGGAACUACCAAAGAAAGAUAGUAUCAAAGACAGUAGUUUACAUCAGCAAAAUGAUCAAAGAAACUUGCUUCCAUCAUGCCAGUGUCUAAGCCAAGAAAUUGUGAAAGGCUUGGACAGAAUCAGUCUUCAGAACAGUGCAAAAAAUGAUCAGCAUUAUGGUAUAGGGUGUGUAAUAAAGAAGGAAAGCAAAACUAGCCUUACCACACUUGCUUGUAGCAAACCUUGUGAACACGUUUCACCCUGUGGAAGUAGCCUCUUUGAAGGAUCAUCUGUCCAGCUGGGAAAACUCUGCUGCACUGGAGUGGAUUCAGAGGAAGAGGAUUCCAGGUCUAGUUCAUCAGGGGAACAAGUCAUGCUUGAGGUUUCUGAUGUAUCACCAGUUCAUGACUGUGAUCUUUAUAUUGAAAUGGUAAAAACCACAAAAUCUAUCCCUGAAUAUUCAGAAGUAGCCUAUCCAGAUUAUUUUGGACAUAUUCCACCCCCAUUUAAGGAGCCCAUUCUGGAAAGGCCAUAUGGGGUGCAGAGGACAAAAAUAUCUCAAGAUAUUGAAAGACUGAUUCAUCAAAAUGACAUUAUAGACAGAGUUGUGUAUGACCUUGAUAAUUUGAGUUCUUCAGUACCAGAGGAAGCAGAUGUUUUGAAGUUUAAUUCCAAAUUUGAAUCUGGAAAUCUCCGCAAAGUUAUUCAGAUCAGAAAAAACGAGUAUGAUCUAAUUCUGAACUCGGAUAUAAAUAGCAAUCAUUAUCAUCAAUGGUUUUACUUUGAAGUCAGUGGAAUGAAAACUGGCAUUGGUUACCGGUUUAACAUCAUCAACUGUGAAAAGUCAAACAGUCAGUUUAACUACGGUAUGCAGCCCCUCAUGUAUUCUGUUCAAGAAGCAUUAAAUUCUCGACCAUGUUGGACUCGUGUUGGGACAGAUAUUUGUUACUAUAAGAAUCAUUUCUCAAGAAGUUCAAUUGCUGCUGGAGGUCAGAAAGGAAAAUCUUAUUACACAAUUACGUUCACAGUGACUUUCCAACAUAAAGAUGAUGUCUGUUACUUCGCUUACCAUUAUCCAUAUACAUACUCAACUUUAAAGAUGCAUCUUCAGAAGCUGGAAUCUAUGCACAACCCUCAACAGAUAUAUUUUCGACAAGAUGUUCUCUGUGAGACCCUGGCUGGCAACAGUUGUCCCUUAGUCACUAUUACAGCCAUGCCGGAGUCCAAUUACUAUGAACAUAUCUAUCAGUUCAGGAAUCGUCCUUAUAUUUUCCUGUCUGCUCGUGUACAUCCUGGAGAGACUAAUGCAAGCUGGGUUAUGAAGGGAACCCUGGAAUACCUUAUGAGCAAUAAUCCAAGUGCCCAAAGUUUACGAGAAUCUUACAUUUUCAAAAUUAUUCCCAUGCUCAAUCCAGAUGGUGUCAUCAGUGGAAACCACCGUUGCUCUUUAAGUGGAGAAGAUUUAAACAGACAGUGGCAAAAUCCAAAUCCAGAUCUGCAUCCCACUAUUUACCAUGCUAAAGGGUUACUGCAAUAUCUGGCUGCUAUAAAACGUUUACCUUUGGUCUACUGUGAUUAUCAUGGUCACUCUCGUAAAAAGAAUGUGUUUAUGUAUGGCUGCAGCAUCAAAGAGACAAUGUGGCACACAAAUGUUAAUGCUGCCUCUUGUGACCUGAUGGAAGACCCUGGCUACAGGGCACUCCCCAAGAUCCUGAGUCAAACUGCCCCAGCAUUCUGCAUGGGCAGCUGCAGCUUUGUAGUGGAAAAGUCGAAGGAAUCAACAGCGCGAGUUGUUGUCUGGAGAGAGAUAGGAGUACAAAGGAGCUACACAAUGGAAAGCACGUUAUGUGGAUGUGACCAGGGCAAAUACAAGGUAGAAGAGUUCAUGACCAAGACACUCUAUUCAUGUGAAGGUAUUUUCAUGAUGUGCUUAGUAAGGAAGACUUCAACCAACCAUCUAAAAUGCUACUGUGUAGAAGGAAGACAGUUGUAUAAAAUGUAAAGAAAAAGGAAUAAAAUUUGAGGCAUGUUUCUUUUUUUUUUUUUUUUUAAAAAAAAAAAGCUACUUCCAGGUGGCUUGUGCUUAAAAGCAAUGCUUGUAACACUUAAGGAACUUUAAUAGGCCACAGUUAAAGGUACUAGAACCACAGCUGAAGGUGUCUAGAAGAUCAAGAAGAGGAGCGUAAUCAAGGCUUCAGUGAAAAUGAACUUCACCUGCAUUCCCGUAGUUAGGGCAAUUGUUUAUUAUUAUUUCCUGAAACAGACUUUGGGUCUCCUGUUUCAUGGAAUUUAAGAGAUUUGGCCAAUGGAAGAAAAACAAUGGAUUAAGAAAUUUGGUAUUUGGCAGCUGUGUGGUAUUGCAUUCUCCAUUAUGAUUUAAAGAAAUGACAGAAGCAAAUCUAGACUUUGGCACGGGCUUUUACCGCAAGUAUGUGGACACUUCAGUACAGCAAGUUCAAACUUCAUCAUCCAGGUGUUUCACAGUUAUCCACCUGCAAUCUGAUCCAUUUAGGUGUCUUUUUAGUUAUAUCCUCUUUCUGCUGUGCUGAAAAUAGCCACAGAGCGUGCACAUGCUAAUUUAUUUUUCUAACAAUUGUCUGCACUUUCUUUCAUACUGUACUCUUCGCCUUUUUUGACUUAGAGCAACUCCUAUUAUACUGUCUGUAAGGAAUCUGCCAACUAACGAUAACUUCUUCAGCAACAGAUAUAGACAAUGAUUGGAACAGUUUCUGAACCAUCAAGUUGUGCGCAUUAGUAAUCUAUGUAACAGUGAGAUUACUGUUACCCUUCUCCUCCUCUUCUGCAUACUUGUUGCCUCUUGUCCUUAAUGUUAUUUUAAUCUCUUUGGGGCAGGGACUGUGUCUUCCUGUGAUUAGCGUAGUGGAGCCCCAGCUAUGAUUGGGGUCUUCGAAUGUUACUGAUGUGCAAACAAAUACAAAACAAAAACAAAAAAUUGGCCUCUGUGGAUAAGGUACUGCACUGGGAGUGAGGAGAACUGAUUUCUGUUCCCAGCGGGGUCAGUGACAUGCUGUGAGACACUGUGCAAAUGGCUUCAACCCUCUCUGCCUCCAUUUCUCCAUCAGUAAAGUGAGGAUAAUUCUUCCUUUAUUAAUAAAGUGCUUUGAAACCUACAGCACAAAAGCAUUAUGAAAGAGGGAUUGCAGAUAGGGACAAGAGAACUGGAGGAGAUGGGAGCAAAGUUCUGUGUUGGCUUACUGCGUUUGAAAAGAAUGGCCUCAC
Molecule: RNA transcript, 6197 nt
Organism: Egretta garzetta (little egret)
Lineage: Eukaryota; Metazoa; Chordata; Aves; Pelecaniformes; Ardeidae
Gene: AGTPBP1
Gene name: ATP/GTP binding protein 1
Exons: 28
Source: RefSeq, a predicted model, not a curated record